GGCUGGUCUGAGUGCCCUUGAAUUGGAUAUUUUUACCCAAGCAUGGAAGUUUAUGGAAUGAACACUCGACUCUAAAGGCAAAAUAAAAGAUUAAUCAACAAAAGCAAAGGCAGAAGCUGCUCUUCUAGCAACUAUCUGGUAUUGUAGCCAAUUUUAGCCAAUUUUGCAACAAACGAAAUGGAGGCCUAACACUACCAAUCAAAAAGAGGGAUGAGGACUUAGGAAGAAAAAUUCAGGAGGAAAAUAUGUUGCAAUCUAGAAUUUCAACUACUAUGCAUAUAGAACAAGUCUAUGAUAACUCUCUCUUUAAAAUUAGGUGGUGGAACCAGGGAAGAAGAGAUGAAUAUAUGGUGCCAACACCAUAUUCUUAGACAUUUCUUAUAUGCCACCAACCACCAAUAAACAAAAAUAAAAUGAGGUUUCAG
This 425-nucleotide unclassified non-coding RNA is filed under the name Hevea brasiliensis (rubber tree). The record is from RNAcentral. Lineage: Eukaryota; Viridiplantae; Streptophyta; Magnoliopsida; Malpighiales; Euphorbiaceae.